Molecule: long non-coding RNA, 1044 nt
Organism: Triticum dicoccoides
Lineage: Eukaryota; Viridiplantae; Streptophyta; Magnoliopsida; Poales; Poaceae
Exons: 4
Source: RefSeq, a predicted model, not a curated record
CCUUCGUCCUCUCCUCUGCUUCCAAUCGCGCUGCCCAUCGAUCCGAGCCCGACGACGCCAGAUCCGCAGCCCACCUUCCCCCAUCUUCCGCUCCCCCUCUCCACCUCCCACAUCGGAUCGAGCGUGCCGCCCAACUUCACAGGUAGCAGAUGCACCGCCGGCCAGCAGCCUCGACGUCGCGGCCGGCUGGGUCGACGGCGCGCGCAUGCUUCGAUGCGCGCUGCUCCGUCGAGCUGGCCGGACCGCGGCGGCGCAUGACCUAGGGUUUGUGGUGGCUUUGCCCCCACGCCGGCCACGGCGACUGCCGUGUUCGUCGUUCCCCACCCUGCAGUCAAUCCCGUCCCCGCUGCUUCAACGGCCUCCUCUGCUGGCGUCUCUGCGAGAUCGCCCGACGCCAGGCAGGCCGUGGACGCGCAGGACCUCAAGCCGGCCGUGCUGCUCCUUCUGCCCGCGUCUUUCCCCAAACACGUCUCCGACCUGCAUCCAACUGCCCUUGCCUCAGCCCUCCUCCACUUAGCUCCUGGUGAGCUGCUGCAGUGCAGCCGCUGUACUGGACCAAGGACCCUGGGGAUAGCAACUGCACUCAGUUUUGGAAGAGCUUAUUGAUGGAUUGCUGAUGAGUCCUGGGUGUGGAUGUGCAACACAUAACUUUAUCGAAGCCCUACGAAGGCAAGGCACCUGCAUCACACCCAUGGGGUGGUCCAAUACAAAGUCGAAAGUAUGUUCUUCUACCCCAUUGCUUCUGGUAUCCACAUAAUAUGUUAAGUUUAAUUUGAUUCUACAGUUCAGCUUUGUUGGUGGUUACAGCAGCAGAGGAAGUUUGAGCAAUAGGACAUUUCAUUGAAGGAAAUAACAAAAUAGUGGUGAAGCGGGUGAUGUAGAGUGGUGAAGCAGGUGAUGAAGAGGGUUCUACAUUGAUGUCAAUGUGUGUGUUUUAUUUUAUCAAUGUAACCAUUUUUUUAGAAUCAUGCAACCAUUUUUGUUCAUGGUUGUUUGGGUGCCUAACUAAUUUAUUCUGUGGAAGUAUCGGUUUUCGCCCGGUUU